Molecule: ribosomal RNA, 497 nt
Filed under: uncultured bacterium
Lineage: Bacteria
Description: partial 16S ribosomal RNA
Rfam family: Bacterial small subunit ribosomal RNA
Source: RNAcentral
GAUGAACGCUGGCGGCGUGCCUAAUACAUGCAAGUCGAGCGAACGGACGAGAAGCUUGCUUCUCUGAUGUUAGCGGCGGACGGGUGAGUAACACGUGGAUAACCUACCUAUAAGACUGGGAUAACUUCGGGAAACCGGAGCUAAUACCGGAUAAUAUUUUGAACCGCAUGGUUCAAAAGUGAAAGACGGUCUUGCUGUCACUUAUAGAUGGAUCCGCGCUGCAUUAGCUAGUUGGUAAGGUAACGGCUUACCAAGGCAACGAUGCAUAGCCGAACUGAGAGGGUGAUCGGCCACACUGGAACUGAGACACGGUCCAGACUCCUACGGGAGGCAGCAGUAGGGAAUCUUACGCAAUGGGCGAAAGCCUGACGGAGCAAAGCCGCGUGAGUGAUGAAGGUCUUCGGAUCGUAAAACUCUGUUAUUAGGGAAGAACAUAUGUGUAAGUAACUGUGCACAUCUUGACGGUACCUAAUCAGAAAGCCACGGCUAACUACGUG